CCNUGCCGCGUGAGUGAANAAGGCCCUCGGGUUGUAAAGCUCUUUUGUUGGGGAAGAAAAGCAGUUGGUUAAUACCCGAUUGUUCUGACGGUACCCAAAGAAUAAGCACCGGCUAACUUCGUGCCAGCAGGCGCGGU
This 137-nucleotide ribosomal RNA is filed under the name uncultured Xanthomonas sp. RNAcentral describes it as "partial 16S ribosomal RNA". It matches the Rfam family "Bacterial small subunit ribosomal RNA", at positions 392 to 521 of the family's 1533-position model. The record is from RNAcentral. Lineage: Bacteria; Pseudomonadati; Pseudomonadota; Gammaproteobacteria; Lysobacterales; Lysobacteraceae.